Molecule: ribosomal RNA, 505 nt
Filed under: uncultured bacterium
Lineage: Bacteria
Description: partial 16S ribosomal RNA
Rfam family: Bacterial small subunit ribosomal RNA
Source: RNAcentral
GACGAACGCUGGCGGCGUGCCUAAUACAUGCAAGUAGAACGCACAGUUUAUACCGUAGCUUGCUCCACCAUAAACUGUGAGUUGCGAACGGGUGAGUAACGCGUAGGUAACCUGCCUGGUAGCGGGGGAUAACUAUUGGAAACGAUAGCUAAUACCGCAUAAUAUUAAUUAUUGCAUGAUAAUUGAUUGAAAGAUGCAAUUGCAUCACUACCAGAUGGACCUGCGGUGUAUUAGCUAGUAGGUGAGGUAACGGCUCACCUAGGCGACGAUACAUAGCCGACCUGAGAGGGUGAUCGGCCACAAUGGGACUGAGACACGGCCCAGACUCCUAAGGGAGGCAGCAGGAGGGAAUCUUCGGCAAUGGACGAAAGUCUGACCGAGCAACGCCGCGUGAGUGAAGAAGGGUGUCGGAUCGGAAAGCUCUGUUGUAAGAGAAGAACGGGUGUGAGAGUGGAAAGUUCACACUGUGACGGUAUCUUACCAGAAAGGGACGGCUAACUACGUG